ACUAACAAGGAUUCCCMUAGUAACUGCGAGUGAAGAGGGAAAAGCUCAAAUUUAAAAUCUGGCAGUCUCUGGCUGUCCGAGUUGUAAAUUAGAGAAGUGUUAUCCGCUCAAGCCUGUGCAAAAGUCUCUUGGAAAAGAGCAUCAUAGAGGGUGACAAUCCCGUCUUUGGCACAGAUCACUUGCGCUUUUGUGAUGCGCUCUCAAUGAGUCGAGUUGUUUGGGAAUGCAGCUCUAAAUGGGUGGUAAAUUCCAUCUAAAGCUAAAUAUUGGCGAGAAACCGAUAGCGCACAAGUACCGUGAGGGAAAGAUGAAAAGAACUUUGAAAAGAGAGUUAAACAGUACGUGAAAUUGUUGAAAGGGAAACGCUUGGAGUCAGUCGUGUCCUGCKGAAUCAACCCAUCCUUUGGUUGGGUGUACUUUUUYGUAGGAUGGGUCAGCAUCAAUUUUGAUUGUUGGAAAAAGGACUUGGGAAUGUGGCAUCUUUGGAUGCGUUAUAGCCCUUGUUUGUAUACAAUGAUUGGGAUUGAGGAACUCAGUGUGACUUUUGUUUGGGGGCAUUGCCUCACAUCAACGCACUUAGGAUGCUGGCAUAAUGGCUUUAAUCGACCCGUCUUGAAACACGGACCAAGGAGUCUAACAUGCAUGCAAGUGUUUGGGUGGAAAACUCAAGCGCGUAAUGAAAGUGAAAGUUGAGAACCCUGUCGUGGGGUGCAUCGACGCCCGGUCUUGACCUUUUGUGACGGACCUGCGGUAGAGCAUGUAUGUUGGGACCCGAAAGAUGGUGAACUAUGCCUGAUAGGUGAAGCCAGAGAACUCUGGUGGAGCUCGUAGCGAUUCUGACGUGCAAUCGAUCGUCAAUUUGGUAUAGGGCGAAGACUAUCGACAUCUAGUAGCUGUCUGC
Molecule: ribosomal RNA, 901 nt
Filed under: Hodophilus phaeoxanthus
Lineage: Eukaryota; Fungi; Basidiomycota; Agaricomycetes; Agaricales; Clavariaceae
Description: LSU rRNA
Rfam family: Eukaryotic large subunit ribosomal RNA
Source: RNAcentral